Long non-coding RNA from Mesoplodon densirostris (Blainville's beaked whale), 524 nucleotides. RefSeq lists it as uncharacterized. NCBI's taxonomy places the organism in Eukaryota, Metazoa, Chordata, Mammalia, Artiodactyla, Ziphiidae. The record is from RefSeq and is a predicted model, not a curated record. The transcript is spliced from 3 exons.
AGGGCAGGUCUGCUGGGAGAGAGAGUUGCCUUGGACAGAUAGGCAGAGAGAAGCAGAGUCUCUAAGGAAAUGAAUCCCUAGGGUUGCCUUUGCUCCUCAAGGCUCUCCAAUUCCAGACCACCCGUAUCCUUAACAACACCUGUCCCCUUUUACCUAAGGUAACUGAGAUUUUUCUCAAUGGAAAGACCCAACUAUAACUAACAGUUUGCACAAGUUCUGUGUAGGCAGGUCAAGACUAUGUUUCAGUCCUAAAGAAAGGAGAUCUUGGCGUCUACAAAGAACUGGUUUGGUCUAAGAAAGCCUACCUCAUCAGAGCACCAUGGUUUACAAACGAUAGAUGCUUGAGAAAUACCUGCUUAACUCAACUCACUGAAAUGGAGCUUAAGUCAUAUUCCAGAAAGAACUCCAAGUCCUUUUGGAAGAGGUUUUCAAAGAAAAUCAACAACCUGAAUGGAUUUAACAUCUUUUGAUGUUAUUACCUGGGCAUUUUCACAAAUGCAAAUUGUUAACUGUUAAUUGUUAAA